This 581-nucleotide ribosomal RNA is filed under the name uncultured bacterium. RNAcentral's name for it is "bacterial SSU rRNA". It matches the Rfam family "Bacterial small subunit ribosomal RNA", at positions 102 to 679 of the family's 1533-position model. The record is from RNAcentral.
ACGGGUGAGUAAUGUCUGGGAAACUGCCUGAUGGAGGGGGAUAACUACUGGAAACGGUAGCUAAUACCGCAUAACGUCGCAAGACCAAAGAGGGGGACCUUCGGGCCUCUUGCCGUCGGAUGUGCCCAGAUGGGAUUAGCUAGUAGGUGAGGUAAAGGCUCACCUAGGCGACGAUCCCUAGCUGGUCUGAGAGGAUGACCAGCCACACUGGAACUGAGACACGGUCCAGACUCCUACGGGAGGCAGCAGUGGGGAAUAUUGCACAAUGGGCGCAAGCCUGAUGCAGCCAUGCCGCGUGUGUGAAGAAGGCCUUCGGGUUGUAAAGCACUUUCAGCGGGGAGGAAGGGAGCAGGCUUAAUACGUCUGUUCAUUGACGUUACCCGCAGAAGAAGCACCGGCUAACUCCGUGCCAGCAGCCGCGGUAAUACGGAGGGUGCAAGCGUUAAUCGGAAUGACUGGGCGUAAAGCGCACGCAGGCGGUCUGUUAAGUUGGAUGUGAAAUCCCCGGGCUUAACCUGGGAACUGCAUUCAAAACUGACAGGCUAGAGUCUCGUAGAGGGGGGUAGAAUUCCAGGUGUAGC